Molecule: microRNA precursor, 90 nt
Filed under: Anopheles farauti
Lineage: Eukaryota; Metazoa; Arthropoda; Insecta; Diptera; Culicidae
Description: microRNA mir-305
Rfam family: mir-305 microRNA precursor family (bases 8-82)
Source: RNAcentral
UUUGUCACAUGUCUAUUGUACUUCAUCAGGUGCUCUGGUAGAUUUCAACAAACCCGGCACAUGUUGGAGUACACUUUAUGUGCUGACAAG